This 420-nucleotide ribosomal RNA is filed under the name uncultured bacterium. Its description in RNAcentral is "bacterial SSU rRNA". It matches the Rfam family "Bacterial small subunit ribosomal RNA", at positions 355 to 773 of the family's 1533-position model. The record is from RNAcentral.
UAAGGAAUAUUGGUCAAUGGACGCAAGUCUGAACCAGCCAUGCCGCGUGAAGGAUGAAGGUCCUCUGGAUUGUAAACUUCUUUUAUCUGGGACGAAAACGGGAUUUUUAUCUCAAUUGACGGUACCAGAGGAAUAAGCACCGGCUAACUCCGUGCCAGCAGCCGCGGUAAUACGGAGGGUGCGAGCGUCAUCCGGAUUUACUGGGUUUAAAGGGUGCGUAGGUGGGCUUAUAAGUCAGUGGUGAAAUCUCCGAGCUUAACUUGGAAACUGCCGUUGAUACUAUAGGUCUUGAAUUAUCUGGAGGUAAGCGGAAUAUGUCAUGUAGCGGUGAAAUGCUUAGAUAUGACAUAGAACACCAAUUGCGAAGGCAGCUUACUGCAUAUAAAUUGACGCUGAGGCACGAAAGCGUGGGGAUCAAAC